Molecule: ribosomal RNA, 253 nt
Filed under: uncultured bacterium
Lineage: Bacteria
Description: partial 16S ribosomal RNA
Rfam family: Bacterial small subunit ribosomal RNA
Source: RNAcentral
UACGUAGGCAGCAAGCGUUGUUCGGAAUUACUGGGCGUAAAGAGUGUGUAGGCGGUGCUCUAAGUUUGGUGUGAAAUCUCCCGGCUCAACUGGGAGGGUGCGCCGAAAACUGGAAUGCUUGAACAUGGGAGAGGAAAGCGGAAUUCCUGGUGUAGCGGUGAAAUGCGCAGAUAUCAGGAGGAACACCAAUGGCGAAGGCAGCUCGCUGGGACGGUACUGACACUGAGACGCGAAAGCGUGGGGAGCAAACAGG